UACCGGUACAAGCUGGCAGAUUCGUGGCAGCUUGGGUAUUUUGGUCAUUUCACUUUUGACACCUAUCUAUUUGAACCCAGCACGACUCUGGGGGCUCAGUGAAGGUUGCUGGAGCUCAGGGGAUUGUUCUUCCACCUUCCUCUCUCUCUCUCUCUAGGGUUUUUCUCUCUCUACAUAGAAAUCGACGAUUUUGCUCGUUUUCGUCGCCUCGCUUGUUCGUCGCUUGUUGCGAGUGUUACGGAGCCCUUGUGAACGUGUGAGAGAGUACUUUGGAAGUCUUUUCGCAGCUCUGGACCAGCGAGCUACUGGUUGGAGGCUUGGCGAGGUAAUCGGCUCUACUUUUCCAUUAUUAACGUCGAUUUGAGUAUUGUUUUCAGGUUUUAGCUUCCCGCUGCUUUAAACUGAGAUUUCAGCUUGUAUUUAUGAGUUAUUUAGCUGAGAAUUAACCCUCUUAGAUCUGGGAUAAGCCACUUGGAAGCUUAAUUGGAAUAAUUAGCCAUUUAUGAAGCUAUUUCGGACUAUAUACGGGUUAUGCGACCGAAUUGAUACAAUUUGAAAAUUGUUCUCUUUGCAGCAGGUUUUUGAACCUUAUUAAACGAAUUAGUGACCUUGGGACUGAGUUUAGAAGGUGUUCUAACUACGGCGAGAGGGUAUUUGACCCUUGGACCGUCUUCGACUGGCCUUGGAGAACCUUUUGGAAGCUUAACUUGAGCAGCAGUGGGACCUCGUGGGGCUGAUUUUGGGACCCUUGCAAACUGUUUUGGAGCUUUGUACGAGAGCCUGUUACAGGAGAGGCUAGGGAUCGUGGCAAGGGAGUCGCGCCUAGCUAGGGACUACUAGGAGCGUGCUAGUCGAUCACCUUGAUACUCGGUCUACGACCGAGGGUGAUGUCCCUUUGUAUAGAGAAACCACCAUUAUAUCUAUCAUAUUUUUGUAUACUCGUGAUGUAUUUGUACCACUUGGACCGUGAACUACAGUUGUGACACUUCUCUUCUGUCGAGAUUUUGGGAUUGUACACUCUUAGUCUUUUGUUGAUAUAUAUCGACCUGUACAUUGCUCUGAUAUCAGGAUAGGACUUUCUUUGUUUUA
Ananas comosus (pineapple) is the source of this 1089-nucleotide long non-coding RNA. RefSeq lists it as uncharacterized. The transcript has 4 exons. The record is from RefSeq and is a predicted model, not a curated record. Lineage: Eukaryota; Viridiplantae; Streptophyta; Magnoliopsida; Poales; Bromeliaceae.